GGUUAAGCGAAUAAGCGUACACGGUGGAUGCCUAGGCAGUCAGAGGCGAUGAAGGACGUGCUAAUCUGCGAUAAGCGCCGGUAAGGUGAUAUGAACCGUACUAGCCGGCGAUGUCCGAAUGGGGAAACCGG
This 131-nucleotide ribosomal RNA is filed under the name Xenorhabdus poinarii. RNAcentral's name for it is "partial 23S ribosomal RNA". It matches the Rfam family "Bacterial large subunit ribosomal RNA", at positions 1 to 130 of the family's 2925-position model. Lineage: Bacteria; Pseudomonadati; Pseudomonadota; Gammaproteobacteria; Enterobacterales; Morganellaceae. The record is from RNAcentral.